This is a long non-coding RNA of Alnus glutinosa, 315 nucleotides long. RefSeq lists it as uncharacterized. The transcript is spliced from 3 exons. Lineage: Eukaryota; Viridiplantae; Streptophyta; Magnoliopsida; Fagales; Betulaceae. The record is from RefSeq and is a predicted model, not a curated record.
CUUCUCUGUUGUCUGUCGCUUGGGCCGGCUCGGCUGCUGUCGCUCUUCUUCUUUCCUUUUUUUUUCCUCUGCCGGUGUCACUCUUCUAAGUCUUCUUGGAGAAUCGAGAUCUUGUCUUCAUUUCUUUUUUAAAAUCUGAUGAUUUCUGAAGCAGACGGAGCAAAGUAAGCACCGAAGCAAGCGGAGCAAAGAUGGAGAACACCGUUAAUGAGACUCAUACACCUUGUCCUAUUAUGGAAAAUGUUACCGAGUCACAUGACAAACCUGGAGCACCAUCUACAACUGUUGGAACCCCCUUGUCUUCCUCGCAAACAC